UUUCGAAUCAUUCACAAUGGGCGAAAGCCUGAUGGUGCGACGCCGCGUGAGGGAUGAAGGUCUUCGGAUUGUAAACCUCUGUCACCGGGGAAGAAACGCUUCAUGUUAAUAGUAUGAAGCCUGACUUAACCCGGAGAGGAAGCAGUGGCUAACUCUGUG
Molecule: ribosomal RNA, 159 nt
Filed under: uncultured bacterium
Lineage: Bacteria
Description: partial 16S rRNA
Rfam family: Bacterial small subunit ribosomal RNA
Source: RNAcentral